UAUUGUUAUAGACAUUUAAUAUUACGUGAUAUAGUAAUUGGUAAAUAUAUUUUUAGGGGUGAUAGGCUUUUCAAAUUUAUUGAUAGCUUGAUACGUAAUAAAAUUAUUAAGUAUAAAGUCAUACUAUGAAAGUUAAGUUUUAUAGUAGUAAUUAAUUUAGAGAAAAUAAUAUAUUAUAGUUUAAUAGCUAAUUAAUAGUAAUAUAAAUAUUUUUUUCUUAAUUUUUAUUUAAUGCAUUACGUUAUUUUUACUUAAGUAUAUAUUAAUAAUGUUAAUAUAAGUAAUAUUUAUAAAUAAAUUAAAGGAACUCGGCAAAUACAUUUUUCAACUGUUUAUCAAAAACAUAACUAUAUGGUGUUAUAUAUAGCUGUUCCUGCUCAAUGAUUUUAAAUAGCCGCAGUACCCUGACUGUGCAAAGGUAGCAUAAUCAGUUGGCUUUUAAUUGGAGUCUAGAAUGAAUGGAUUUUUGGAAAAUAACUUUCUCUUUUUUAUUUUUGUGAAAUUAGUUUGUAAGUGAAAAUACUUACAUAUGUAUAAAGGACGAGAAGACCCUAGAAAUUUAAAUAUAAUUUUGUUGGGGCGACAGAAUUACAAAAAACUAAUUUGUUUUUACGUGACGUUUUUACAGAUCGACUAAAUUACUCUAGGGAUAACAGCAUAAUUUUUAUAGUUUGUGACCUCGAUGUUGGACUAGGAUAUUAAAUGGUUUAGAAGAUCUUUAAUAAUGCUCUGUUCGAGCU
RNAcentral lists this ribosomal RNA (740 nucleotides) under Theba sp. 1b CG-2011. RNAcentral describes it as "partial 16S ribosomal RNA". Lineage: Eukaryota; Metazoa; Mollusca; Gastropoda; Stylommatophora; Helicidae. The record is from RNAcentral.